GCCGGGGUGGCGGAAUAGGUAGACGCUACGGACUUAAAAUCCGUUGGGCGUUUCGCCCGUGCGGGUUCGAUUCCCGCCUCCGGCACCA
Molecule: transfer RNA, 88 nt
Filed under: Bacillota bacterium
Lineage: Bacteria; Bacillati; Bacillota
Also listed under: 1 other name
Description: Firmicutes bacterium (anaerobic digester metagenome) tRNA-Leu
Rfam family: tRNA
About the family: Transfer RNA (tRNA) molecules are approximately 80 nucleotides in length. Their secondary structure includes four short double-helical elements and three loops (D, anti-codon, and T loops). Further hydrogen bonds mediate the characteristic L-shaped molecular structure. tRNAs have two regions of fundamental functional importance: the anti-codon, which is responsible for specific mRNA codon recognition, and the 3' end, to which the tRNAs corresponding amino acid is attached (by aminoacyl-tRNA synthetases). tRNAs cope with the degeneracy of the genetic code in two manners: having more than one tRNA (with a specific anti-codon) for a particular amino acid; and 'wobble' base-pairing, i.e. permitting non-standard base-pairing at the 3rd anti-codon position.
Source: RNAcentral